Molecule: long non-coding RNA, 578 nt
Filed under: Homo sapiens (human)
Lineage: Eukaryota; Metazoa; Chordata; Mammalia; Primates; Hominidae
Description: HSALNT0335780
Source: RNAcentral
AUCUUGAGUGUGCCUUAAAAUUCCAUUUCAUGGAGAACUGUGCGUGGUUGAAUUUUGAUUGAUUACUCAAUUAACUGAUGUAUUGGUAGAGUGAUUAAGAAAGAAGACUUUGGGAUCAGACCAACCUGGUUUUGAAUUCAAGCUCAGCAACUUACUAGGUAAGGAGGAGAAAAGAAAGAAGGAAAAAUUGGAAAGAUAAAUGGGGUCUUUCCAGUGAAGCCUCCAGGCCUCCAGACUGGAACUUAUACCACUGAUUCUUCUGAAUCUUAGGCCUUUGGACUUGGACUGGAACUAAACCAUCAGCUCUUCUUGUUCUACCACUUGCAGACUGUAUGUCUUGGGACAUGUCAGCCUCUGUAAUCACUGGCCAUGGUCCAUGCCUCCUUUACUACAUCAGAUCCACCUAGUCCCUGGACUAAUCAGAAACACAAGAAAUAAGAAGACCAUUUUGAGAAGAACAGAGAGUAGCCUUAAGAAAAUCCCUGUCGCAAGCACUCUGGGAUUUGGACUCAAAUGCUAAUUAUACAACGUUGGUGGACCAGCCUUAAAACCAACAAUGAUUUGUAACAUUGAUUCUU